GCAUAUCAAUAAGCGGAGGAAAAGAAACCAACAGGGAUUGCCUUAGUAACGGCGAGUGAAGCGGCAACAGCUCAAAUUUGAAAGCUGGCUCCGGCCCGCAUUGUAAUUUGCAGAGGAUGCUUCUGGCGAGGUGCCUUCCGAGUUCCCUGGAACGGGACGCCAUAGAGGGUGAGAGCCCCGUAUGGAUGGACACCAAGCCUGUGUGAAGCUCCUUCAACGAGUCGAGUAGUUUGGGAAUGCUGCUCAAAAUGGGAGGUAAAUCUCUUCUAAAGCUAAAUACCGGCCAGAGACCGAUAGCGCACAAGUAGAGUGAUCGAAAGAUGAAAAGCACCUUGAAAAGGGGGUUAAACAGUACGUGAAAUUGUUGAAAGGGAAGCGCUUGUGACCAGACUUGCGCCGGGCGGCUCAUCAGGGGUUCUCCCCUGUGCACUCCGCCCGGCUCAGGCCAGCAUCGGUUCUCGUGGGAGGAUAAGAACGGUGGGAACGUGGCCCCCCUCCGGGGGGGUGUUAUAGCCCACCGUACGAUACUCUCGUGGGGACCGAGGUUCGCGCUCCGCAAGGAUGCUGGCGUAAUGGUCAUCAGCGACCCGUCUUGAAACACGGACC
This 606-nucleotide ribosomal RNA is filed under the name Cytospora mali. RNAcentral's name for it is "partial large subunit ribosomal RNA". It matches the Rfam family "Eukaryotic large subunit ribosomal RNA", at positions 38 to 667 of the family's 3401-position model. The record is from RNAcentral. Lineage: Eukaryota; Fungi; Ascomycota; Sordariomycetes; Diaporthales; Cytosporaceae.